This 535-nucleotide ribosomal RNA is filed under the name Aspergillus sp. 35n. RNAcentral's name for it is "partial 18S ribosomal RNA". The stretch from base 204 to 357 matches the Rfam family "5.8S ribosomal RNA". The record is from RNAcentral. Lineage: Eukaryota; Fungi; Ascomycota; Eurotiomycetes; Eurotiales; Aspergillaceae.
CUGCGGAAGGAUCAUUACCGAGUGCGGGUCCUUUGGGCCCAACCUCCCAUCCGUGUCUAUUAUACCCUGUUGCUUCGGCGGGCCCGCCGCUUGUCGGCCGCCGGGGGGGCGCCUUUGCCCCCCGGGCCCGUGCCCGCCGGAGACCCCAACACGAACACUGUCUGAAAGCGUGCAGUCUGAGUUGAUUGAAUGCAAUCAGUUAAAACUUUCAACAAUGGAUCUCUUGGUUCCGGCAUCGAUGAAGAACGCAGCGAAAUGCGAUAACUAAUGUGAAUUGCAGAAUUCAGUGAAUCAUCGAGUCUUUGAACGCACAUUGCGCCCCCUGGUAUUCCGGGGGGCAUGCCUGUCCGAGCGUCAUUGCUGCCCUCAAGCCCGGCUUGUGUGUUGGGUCGCCGUCCCCCUCUCCGGGGGGACGGGCCCGAAAGGCAGCGGCGGCACCGCGUCCGAUCCUCGAGCGUAUGGGGCUUUGUCACAUGCUCUGUAGGAUUGGCCGGCGCCUGCCGACGUUUUCCAACCAUUUUUUCCAGGUGACCUC